RNAcentral lists this ribosomal RNA (200 nucleotides) under uncultured bacterium. RNAcentral describes it as "partial 16S ribosomal RNA". It matches the Rfam family "Bacterial small subunit ribosomal RNA", at positions 524 to 723 of the family's 1533-position model. The record is from RNAcentral.
UACGGAGGAUCCGAGCGUUAUCCGGAUUUAUUGGGUUUAAAGGGUGCGUAGGCGGGCUUUUAAGUCAGUGGUGAAAUCUUGCGGCUCAACCGUAAAAAUGCCAUUGAUACUGAUAGUCUUGAAUUUAGUUGAGGUAGGCGGAAUGUGUUGUGUAGCGGUGAAAUGCUUAGAUAUAACACAGAACACCGAUUGCGAAGGCA